CGUGCUUUCACGUCUGCACUUGUGCUGACAGCUCUUGCCGCUCAACGUUUCAAUCGAGUCGAAGUAAACUGAUAACCUGAAUGCCUGUACUUACUUUACCUGUAGCUGCGCUUAAAGUACAAUGCCACUUGUGGAACCUGUAGUUGCCUUGGUUACAAGCUUUAUUUGGUACAAUUCCUAUAGCUGCGCUUAAAGAACUAUGCCCAUCACAUUUGGUAAUGACGAUGCAGAAAACCUGGAGUCAAAAUGGAGUUGGGUCGAUCGUGUGGACGCAGAGAAAAAUAGUGUCAAUUCUCGGUGCAAUUGUGGAAAGGUCCCAUCUGGUCUUUGGCGACUUGGUCUUACAUACACAACGCAGACUGCUCAACAAGAACAACAGCACGUCGGUCACUUGUAUACGCGUGGCGACUUAGUGAGAAUGCAUCGCUUCAGGAAUUGUUCGGCCUCGCAUGGGAGCAUUAAGCAUCCACCUAAUAAGCUUUAGCCCAACUUUAGACUAUCGGCUGUUGUUAAUUAGCCCUAAAUCGGCAGCCGGUUGCCAGAAACUGCGUAGGAAAAUACCUUUGGUUCUUAUAUGAGCAUGCUGUAUAAUUUAUCUAAAGAGAGCAUGCUAUUUAGAGACAUGAUGAUGCGCAGACCUGCUAUUUAAACAACAAACAAAACAAAAAACAACAACAAAGCCUUUAGUCCCAAACAAGUUGGGGUAGGCUAGAGGUGAAACCCAUAAAAUCUCGCAACCAACUCAUGGCUC
RNAcentral lists this long non-coding RNA (751 nucleotides) under Triticum aestivum (bread wheat). RNAcentral describes it as "long non-coding RNA (TAES_LNC005734)". The record is from RNAcentral. Lineage: Eukaryota; Viridiplantae; Streptophyta; Magnoliopsida; Poales; Poaceae.